UUUUGAUAAUUUAUGGCAUCAAAGGCUCUGUUUUCUUAUACAACUUUGAAUGCUCAUGUUGUUAUAUUUUUCUGGUCCUUCCUUUGAUGCCAGCACUAUUAAGUGUUGAGAAUUGAGUACCGCUCCAGCCGGUGCUAGGGGGCGUGAGGGAUGUUGCACUUAUUCAGUAUCCCUCAUGUACAGACUCAAUCAAACCGAGUCUGCAAUUCUCUUGUAAUUUUGUUGUGAUUCAUGCUUCUGAGGGAUCACUUUGUUUCCAGAUUUAUAAAUAAAUGUAUAAUUCCAAGAUGAGAAAAUGACAUAAUACUUAUGUUAAAUUAUAUUUUAGGUUCCAAGACAAAACAAUGGAAUUGAUUGUGGUGUUUUCACAAUCUACUAUGGUUCUGAUCUGAUACAGAAUCACAAAGAUUGGACAACGCUUGGCGGCCAUUGUUCAAGAGUUAAACUUUUGAAAGAGUUGGAGGAGAUGAAAUAGAUUAUAUUAUUAUAAGAGGCAUUAUGAUGGCUAAUACCAAAGACAUGUCAUUAAGGCUGCAUGCCUCCAGAUGAGCCAAAAUAUUUCAAGAAAAUAUAACUUGAGAAAAAUGUAUUGACGUUUUAUGAAAAGUAAAAAGACUAAAGAUAAAAGUAAUAAUUUCAAUGUUAUUUGCUAUUGAUGGCCAAUUUUUCAGUUAUUUUCACCAUAUUUCUACUGUGUUACUAACGCAGUAAGGGUUAAUUUUGCAUAUUUUUACCUCUUUUUUUGUAAUUAAACAUGGUUGUAAGUGCCGUUUGAAAUGUGCAUAUUAUUUUCUCAGUCAGUUUAACAAUAUUUUACUUUUAAAUACAUUUUCAAAAUUUUCAUGAACAUUAUCAGGAAUCUAGAGGUGUGCUGCUUUAAUUAAAGCCAAGCAAAUUGUACAUAGUUCAUCCUCUUGUAUAUGCUCAUUAUGCUUACUUGUUUUCAGUGAGUUUAAUCAUUCAUGUCUUUUUAGCUCACCUGUCACAAAGUGACAGGGUGAGCUUUUGUGAUCGCUUUUCGUCCGGCGUCCGUCCGUCCGUCCGUCCGUAAACUUUUACUUUAAAUGACAUCUCCUCAUAAACCACUAAGCCAAUUUCAUCCAAACUUCACAGGAAUGUUCCUUUGGUGGUCACCUUUAAAAAUUGUUCAAAGAAUUUAAUUCCAUGCAGAACUCUGGUUGCCAUGGCAACCGAAAGAAAAAACUUUAAAUAUCUUCUUUUAAAGAACCCAAAGAGCUAGAGCUAUGAUAUUUAGCAUGAAACAUGUUCUAUUGGGUGUCUACCAAGUUUGUUCAAAUAAAAGCCCUAAGGUCAAAAUUGGCCCGGCCCCGGGGGGUCAUUGAUUUUCCCUAUAUGCAUAUAGUAAAAACUUAAAAAAUCUUCUUUUAAAGAACCCAAAGAGCUAGAGCUAUGAUAUUUAGCAUGAAACAUGUUCUAUUGGGUGUCUACCAAGUUUGUUCAAAUAAAAGCCCUAAGGUCAAAAUUGGCCCCGCCCCGGGGGUCAUUGAUUUUCCCUAUAUGCAUAUAGUAAAAACUUAAAAAAUCUUCUUUUAAAGAACUCAAAGAGCUAUGGCUAAGAUAUUGAGCAUCAAACAUGUUCUAAUAGGUGUCUACCAAGUUUGUUCAAAUAAAAGCCCUGGGGUCAAAAUUGGCCCCGCCCCGGGGGGGUCAUUGAUUUUCCCUAUAUGCAUAUAGUAAAAACUUAAAAAAUCUUCCUUUAAAGAACCAAAAGAGUUAGAGCUAAGAUAUUUAGCAUGAAACGUGUUCUAAUAAGUGUCUACCAAGUUUGUUCAAAUAAAAGCCAGGGGUCAAAAUUGGCCCCGCUCCUGGGGGUCAUUGAUUUUCCCUAUAUGCAUAAAGUAAAAACUUAAAAAAUCUUCUUUUAAAGAACUCAAAGAGCUAUGGCUAAGAUAUUUAGCAUCAAACAUGUUCUAAUAGGUGUCUACCAAGUUUGUUCAAAUAAAAGCCCUGGGGUCAAAAUUGGUACCACCCCGGGGGUCAUUGAUUUUCCUUAUAUGUGUAUAGCAAAAACUUAAAAAAUCUUCUUUGAAAAAACCCAAAUAGCUAGAGUUAAGAUAUUAUAAUUAAGCAUGAAACAUCUUUUAGUGAGUGUCUACAAAGUUUGUUCAAAUAAAAGACCUGGGGUCAAAAUUGGCCCCGCCCCGGGGGUCAUUGAUUUUUCUUUAUAUGUGUAUAGCAAAAACUUAAAAAAAAUCUUCUUUUAAGAAGCCCAAAUAGCUAGAGUUUAGAUAUUAAGCAUGAAACAUUUUCUAGUAAGUGUCUACAAAGUUUACACAAAUAAAAGCCCUGGGGUCAAAACUGGCCCGGCCGCAGCGGUGUCAUUGUUUUUAACUAUAUGUGUAUAGUAAAAACUUAAAAAAAAUCUUCUUUUAAAAAGCCCAAUGAGCUAGAGCUUAGAUUGGGGGGGGGGGGGCUAUAUACAGGUGAGCGACCUCAGGGCCAUCAUGGCCCUCUUGUUUGUAUUUGUCAUGUGUAAUGUUAAUUGUAUCAUGUAACAAGAAACAUAACUUGUUUUUGUUACUUAAUAAAGAAUCUUGAAUUGAAUUGAAUUAAAUUAGAUAAUAUUUUUGUUUUACAAUGUCUGUCAGAGCAAACAACUCUUUUGUCUUUGUCAGUAUUUACUAAAGAGUUUGAUUAUAUUGUUCAUGAUAAUUUAUGGCAUAAGUUGAUAAAACUGGGACAUUAAGUGGAGACAUUUAAAUAUUUUAAAAUCUAUGUAUACAACAUUAAAAACAAGAGUAAAACAUUGUAGUAGAUUAAGUGAUCCAUACGAAUGUUUUCUUGGUGUUAACAAGGAGAGUGUUUGUCUCCCUAUCUCUUUUCCAUGUAUCUGAAAACCUUGAAGAUGAAUUUAUAAAAAGUGAAAUUAAAUGUAUUGAUGUUGAUAUGUUUAAAAUGUUCUUAAUCUUAUAUGCUGAGGAUAUUGUUAUUCUUGCAAAAAGUAAAAACGAACUACAAAAAGGUUUAAAUGUUUAAGCAGAUUAUUGUGAUAGAUGGAAACUUUCAGUGAACACAUGUAAGACGAAAAUAAUGAUAUUUAGAUAUGGUGAAUUUUGCCCAGAAAUAUUAAUUUUUAUUGCAAGGAAAAUUUUAUUGAUAAAGUUAGCAUGUUUACAUAUUCAGGAAUUGUUUUCACAUCAGGGGAUCCUUUGCAGAAUCUCAAAAUAUCAUUGCUGGACAAGCGUUGAAAGCAAUAUUUAAAAUUAGCAAAUAAAUUUGUUAAGUAGAAUUAUGUUUGUUUUUGCUUAUUUUUCUUAUGAAUAUUGUAUGGUAACAGUGCUUCUAAAUUAAGGCAUAUAAUAUUAUCAAUAUUAAUAGUUAGAAAUUAUUGAUAAGUUCAAUACGGCUUUUAUAUCGAUUUGUUUUACACGCGUAUAUCAUUGUUUUGAUUUAGUUCAAUGGAUAAUUAGGUAUAUUAUAUGUUUGUACAGAUAAAUGAUUUAAAUGAACGCUUUAGUUCAUCAGAUAUACAGGUCAAUGAUUUUAUACAUCUUUAUUAAAGCCUCAUCCAUACAAAACAUAAACAACAUUUCAAAUACAAAUUGUUAAGCAUUAUAUAAUAAUUUUUUACAGUGAAAAUACUGAAAAUGAAAAUACGCAUUUUAUUUCAUUAAUAUUUCAUCUAUAAGUAUAUAUCUUGUCAAAUUAAUUCAAUACAAUGUAUGAAGUUUACCUCUCCGUAAGUUUUGCUAGACAGUGGUAAUUAAUUUAGCAUUAUGUUUAACGUUGAAUAUUCUUUUGUUCUGUUAUUUAUGAUAAAUUUGUGUAUACCUUCUCCACUUACACUAACGCAUUGUAUGUAUAUGUUUUACACUGUCUUGUCUUUUAUCAUGCGUUUGUUUAUCCUCAUGGACCAUUUUGUCCAAUGGAAUAUUGAAAUAAAUUUAAUUUUAAACUUA
Molecule: long non-coding RNA, 3920 nt
Organism: Ruditapes philippinarum (Manila clam)
Lineage: Eukaryota; Metazoa; Mollusca; Bivalvia; Venerida; Veneridae
Exons: 2
Source: RefSeq, a predicted model, not a curated record